UAUAUUCCAAUUGGACAGUUCAGGCAUGGACCAGGGCCUGGCUCUCCUCUCAGGGCCUUUCUCCUGUCUAAAUUUGGUGGGUGACCUCUGGCUGGAAAGAGGAAGUGAGGUGGUGGAAAGAGACAAGGUUUCUUCCUUCCCUGCAGGAGGCUGUGGCAAAAAGCCAGCAUUCACACGGGGUUCCUCCAUGUUGAUUGGGCUGAUUUUGAACUCCUGACCUCAGGUGAUCCGCCUGCUCCAGCCUCCCAAAGUGUUGGGAUUACAGGCGUGAGCCACCGCGCCUGGACUCAAAAGAGCUUUACAUUUUUAUACAUACUAAUAACGACUUAAUUAGUACAGAUCCAAUUGUCAAUUACCCAUGUUAUCUGCUUUCCAACUUAUUUGGGCUGUUUCCCUUUCCAGAAACCAGAGAGGGGAAGAAAAAAAGCACAAAAACAAAAUAAUUUGCUCAUUUGUUAUUUGCAUUAAGUAAUUUUGGAGAAGAUUGAAAUUAUCUACAAAAGUGAAUCUAUUAUUUGUGGGUUUUCCAGUUCCACAGGCAAUCGAGAGCCACUGUGAAGUCUCUUCCUGAUAGACCAAACCAAAUUUAUGACUUCCAGAAAUCUCCAGAUCCAAGGGUCAAGGUUGUGUCGCUUUCAAUGGACAAGUUCUGCCCAGGUUCUUCAGUUUUGAGAAAAGGAAAACCAGUAACACAAAAUUCAAUACUUUUCCAAUGGUCUCUUUAAAUAAAUUUGCUACAGACACUGUGGCAACACUAAAGCUUAUUAAGCUAAAAAGUUUCUUGAAAUUGUCAGAAAGUGCUAAAAAUCUACUUUUAGAAAGCCAUGAGUUACAUAUGUAUUUUGUAGAGGGAAGAGUUGUUGGAAGGUUUGUUUACUCUAAAG
RNAcentral lists this long non-coding RNA (884 nucleotides) under Homo sapiens (human). RNAcentral describes it as "non-protein coding lnc-TMTC3-2:2". The record is from RNAcentral. Lineage: Eukaryota; Metazoa; Chordata; Mammalia; Primates; Hominidae.